UCGAACGGUGAACACGGAGCUUGCUCUGUGGGAUCAGUGGCGAACGGGUGAGUAACACGUGAGCAACCUGCCCCUGACUCUGGGAUAAGCGCUGGAAACGGCGUCUAAUACUGGAUAUGUGACGUGACCGCAUGGUCUGCGUUUGGAAAGAUUUUUCGGUUGGGGAUGGGCUCGCGGCCUAUCAGCUUGUUGGUGAGGUAAUGGCUCACCAAGGCGUCGACGGGUAGCCGGCCUGAGAGGGUGACCGGCCACACUGGGACUGAGACACGGCCCAGACUCCUACGGGAGGCAGCAGUGGGGAAUAUUGCACAAUGGGCGAAAGCCUGAUGCAGCAACGCCGCGUGAGGGAUGACGGCCUUCGGGUUGUAAACCUCUUUUAGCAGGGAAGAAGCGAAAGUGACGGUACCUGCAGAAAAAGCGCCGGCUAACUACGUGCCAGCAGCCGCGGUAAUACGUAGGGCGCAAGCGUUAUCCGGAAUUAUUGGGCGUAAAGAGCUCGUAGGCGGUUUGUCGCGUCUGCUGUGAAAUCCCGAGGCUCAACCUCGGGCCUGCAGUGGGUACGGGCAGACUAGAGUGCGGUAGGGGAGAUUGGAAUUCCUGGUGUAGCGGUGGAAUGCGCAGAUAUCAGGAGGAACACCGAUGGCGAAGGCAGAUCUCUGGGCCGUAACUG
RNAcentral lists this ribosomal RNA (670 nucleotides) under Microbacterium sp. 7-128E. RNAcentral's name for it is "bacterial SSU rRNA". It matches the Rfam family "Bacterial small subunit ribosomal RNA", at positions 62 to 742 of the family's 1533-position model. The record is from RNAcentral. Lineage: Bacteria; Bacillati; Actinomycetota; Actinomycetes; Micrococcales; Microbacteriaceae.